RNAcentral lists this unclassified non-coding RNA (946 nucleotides) under Hevea brasiliensis (rubber tree). Lineage: Eukaryota; Viridiplantae; Streptophyta; Magnoliopsida; Malpighiales; Euphorbiaceae. The record is from RNAcentral.
AAAUAAAACUUUCUUUUAUGAGGCAUAAACUUUAUGAAUAGAACUUCCUAUUGGUCUUGAUUCAUUCAACAUUGUUAAAAGUUCCCUUUUCUUUCCGUACUGGACUUAAUUUUUGGCAACUUCUCCUCCAAACCUUGCUUAUCCCUCCUAUUGUUUGGAAGGAACUCUCAUUCAAUCACUUGAAAUUGUGAACGUUCCCCAGAAAGAAAGAGAUGAGAAGUUGUAAUUUUCUUUUAGAAAUCAUGGGAAAUGGAAGAACACAAUCAACAAUUUUUCUUAAAAAAAAAAUAAGACAGGAGAGAAUUAAAAUGCUCUUGAAAGGAUAGUGGUUAAGACUUAAGAGCAUUCAAAAAAUAAUUAUAAAAAAUCAUGUUACAAUUCAACUCAGCUGCAAUAAUAAUCAUACUGGGGUUUGCAGAACAUACCGUUUCCUCCAUUCUACUCAAUUUUAGGCUAGAAUUUCAAGAAAAUCUAAUAAUGCUAAAUCUUUCUUGAACAUUUCAGCCAUUCCAUUUUAUUGUCUUGUCUAUCCUUUUUAUCACGCUUAUAAUUUGGAUGCUUUCAAUUUUGCGCAUCAAUGCAUUAGCCAACCUUAAAGCACAUGGUCAAACUAUCUCAAUCAACCCCUACCUUCCUGUAAAUGACAUUUCCACCUACCAGAAUUGAAGAGAUAGAAAAAGGGAGGAUAAGAGUAAAUUAGCUUGAUCAUUCCCUCAAGCCUUUGGGGGAUCAAAUACUGAUUACAGGAAAAACAAAAUAGGAAAACCUAUUUAUAGACAGCAUUUAGGUUUUUAAAACCAGCCAGUUAUCGAACCGAUAAGGACAGAGGAUUAAAGGUUUAAUAUUUAACUAGAGUUUAACAGGCAUGCUAUUAAAUAAAUAUCAGUCAUAUAUUAUAAAAUUAAAAAUCUUAUAAAAUUACUAAUACUGUAUUGUUAUAAUUGGU